This 288-nucleotide long non-coding RNA is filed under the name Anas platyrhynchos platyrhynchos (common mallard). Its description in RNAcentral is "lncRNA (ENSAPLG00000030497.1)". The record is from RNAcentral. Lineage: Eukaryota; Metazoa; Chordata; Aves; Anseriformes; Anatidae.
UACACACCACCUCAGUUUCCUGUGAAUGUGAAUAUGACAAUGUAGUUUUCAGUGUGCCAACUGCUCCAUAGAGAACACUGAUGAUAAUACGUAUCAUAUUCCAAGGCAGAAAAUAGACAUAUUCUUUGACUUGCAGAGGAUACAGAGUAAUACCAAAUACAGAAGGAAUAUAAGAAUAGAGAGAAGACAAUGAAAUGAAGAAUAACAAUAACAGUUGUGAGUAAUCUAAAAUAUUUGUUUUCAUCUUUCCUUUCAAAUUUUCUGUAUGAAAAGCUGAAAUUUUGCUAG